Molecule: ribosomal RNA, 468 nt
Filed under: uncultured bacterium
Lineage: Bacteria
Description: partial 16S ribosomal RNA
Rfam family: Bacterial small subunit ribosomal RNA
Source: RNAcentral
GACGAACGCUGGCGGCGUGCUUAACACAUGCAAGUCGAACGGAAAGGCCCUGCCUUUGUGGGGUGCUCGAGUGGCGAAAGGGUGAGUAACACUUGAGUAACCUGUCCCUGACUUUGGGAUAACUUCAGGAAACUUGGGCUAAUACCGGAUAGGAGCUCCUGCUGAAUGGUGGGGGUUGGUAAGUUUCGGCGGUUGGGGAUGGACUCGCGGCUUAUCAGGUUGUUGGUGGGGUAGUGGCUUACCAAGGCUUUGACGGGUAGCCGGCCUGAGAGGGUGACCGGCCACAUUGGGACUGAGAUACGGCCCAGACUCCUACGGGAGGCAGCAGUGGGGAAUAUUGCACAAUGGGCGGAAGCCUGAUGCAGCAACGCCGCGUGCGGGAUGACGGCCUUCGGGUUGUAAACCGCUUUCGCCUGUGACGAAGCGUGAGUGACGGUAAUGGGUAAAGAAGCACCGGCUAACUACGUG